UAGAUACCCUGGUAGUCCACGCGGUAAACGAUGGAUGCUCGUUGUUGGUAUGUUUAUAUCAGUGACCAAGUGAAAACGUUAAGCAUCCCACCUGGGGAGUACGCCGGCAACGGUGAAACUCAAAGGAAUUGACGGGGGCCCGCACAAGCGGAGGAACAUGUGGUUUAAUUCGAUGAUACGCGAGGAACCUUACCCGGGCUUGAACUGCAGCGGAACGAUUCAGAGAUGAUGAGGUCCUUCGGGACUGCUG
Molecule: ribosomal RNA, 250 nt
Filed under: uncultured bacterium
Lineage: Bacteria
Description: partial 16S ribosomal RNA
Rfam family: Bacterial small subunit ribosomal RNA
Source: RNAcentral